AUGAGCAAGGAAAAGGAGGGCACCCAGUGCAUGGAGGCAGAGCGGGGAGGCAAGGGCCGCAAGGAGCUGGCGGGAGGGCCGCACCGCCAUGGCACCGCUGAGAGGCUGGCACUGCAGGCCAGGCCUCAACGCGCCAGGAUAAGACUUCAAGAGAAAGUGGCUCUAACAUCGUGGGUUGCUUCUUUCUCCUUUCUUUCCCCCCUCCCCGCCCCCGGCCCCUUCUCACUCUUCACUCAGACAGUUCAGCUCACUGAACCACUAGAAAAGUAUUCACAUUUUUUCACCAGCUGGGUUUUCUACACUGUGGUGGACUAUUUCAAAGCAGCACUGAGCCUGAUGCAAAGGACGUAGUGCACAGGAAGGUGAGGUGGUGUGAGGAAUACCCUGCAAGAUCAGCUCAUCCAUCCACCCAAAAGGCACAAGAUGCUCCCACCACACCAUAUGCAGCUGAGUGGGCUCACCAAACCCCCACAAAACAGCUGCUGAGACGGGUGGCUGCGGUGGCUUUGGUAGCAGCUGGACCACUCUGAAAAGAUGGUAUACAUUA
RNAcentral lists this long non-coding RNA (547 nucleotides) under Anser brachyrhynchus (Pink-footed goose). RNAcentral's name for it is "lncRNA (ENSABRG00000006099.1)". The record is from RNAcentral. Lineage: Eukaryota; Metazoa; Chordata; Aves; Anseriformes; Anatidae.